RNAcentral lists this transfer RNA (72 nucleotides) under Frankiaceae bacterium. RNAcentral's name for it is "tRNA-Thr". It matches the Rfam family "tRNA". Rfam says of the family: Transfer RNA (tRNA) molecules are approximately 80 nucleotides in length. Their secondary structure includes four short double-helical elements and three loops (D, anti-codon, and T loops). Further hydrogen bonds mediate the characteristic L-shaped molecular structure. tRNAs have two regions of fundamental functional importance: the anti-codon, which is responsible for specific mRNA codon recognition, and the 3' end, to which the tRNAs corresponding amino acid is attached (by aminoacyl-tRNA synthetases). tRNAs cope with the degeneracy of the genetic code in two manners: having more than one tRNA (with a specific anti-codon) for a particular amino acid; and 'wobble' base-pairing, i.e. permitting non-standard base-pairing at the 3rd anti-codon position. Lineage: Bacteria; Bacillati; Actinomycetota; Actinomycetes; Frankiales; Frankiaceae. The record is from RNAcentral.
GCCAUCAGAGUUCGACGGGUAGAACGCCUCCUUCGUAACGAGGUGGACGAGGUUCGAGUCCUCGUGAUGGCC